RNAcentral lists this ribosomal RNA (446 nucleotides) under uncultured bacterium. RNAcentral describes it as "bacterial SSU rRNA". It matches the Rfam family "Bacterial small subunit ribosomal RNA", at positions 330 to 793 of the family's 1533-position model. The record is from RNAcentral.
ACCAGACUCCUACGGGAGGCAGCAGUGGGGGAUAUUGCACAAUGGGGGGAACCCUGAUGCAGCGACGCCGCGUGGGUGAAGAAGCGCCUCGGCGCGUAAAGCCCUGUCAGCAGGGAAGAAAAUGACGGUACCUGAAGAAGAAGCCCCGGCUAACUACGUGCCAGCAGCCGCGGUAAUACGUAGGGGGCAAGCGUUAUCCGGAUUUACUGGGUGUAAAGGGGGCGCAGACGGCGAUGCAAGCCAGGAGUGAAAGCCCGGGGCCCAACCCCGGGACUGCUCUUGGAACUGCGUGGCUGGAGUGCAGGAGGGGCAGGCGGAAUUCCUGGUGUAGCGGUGAAAUGCGUAGAUAUCAGGAGGAACGCCGGUGGCGAAGGCGGCCUGCUGGACUGCAACUGACGUUGAGGCCCGAAAGCGUGGGGAGCAAACAGGAUUAGAUACCCGCGUAU